UGGGUUCAAUGAUGACUACAAUCUGCGGGUGUUGUAUGAGUCAUGCAUGGAUGAUGAGUACAAAUUUUCGAGUCUGAAGUCCAC
Rattus norvegicus (Norway rat) is the source of this 84-nucleotide small nucleolar RNA. Ensembl annotates it as small nucleolar RNA SNORD113/SNORD114 family. NCBI's taxonomy places the organism in Eukaryota, Metazoa, Chordata, Mammalia, Rodentia, Muridae. The record is from Ensembl.